UGACCUCGGAUCAGGUAGGGAUACCCGCUGAACUUAAG
Molecule: ribosomal RNA, 38 nt
Filed under: Alternaria alternata
Lineage: Eukaryota; Fungi; Ascomycota; Dothideomycetes; Pleosporales; Pleosporaceae
Also listed under: 11 other names
Description: partial 28S ribosomal RNA
Source: RNAcentral